GUGCUCACUUUAUCAGCACAGAUACAAAAAUGGAACAAUACAGAGAUUAGCAUGGCCAUUGUGCAAGGAUGACAUGUAAAUCUGUGAAAUGUUCCAUAUUUUU
Molecule: small nuclear RNA, 103 nt
Organism: Vombatus ursinus (common wombat)
Lineage: Eukaryota; Metazoa; Chordata; Mammalia; Diprotodontia; Vombatidae
Source: Ensembl